UUUUCUUCUUCAAGGGUUUUGUAUUGUUUUUUUUCAGUAUUUUUAGCAAUAUAUCCGUUGAUGGUGUUUUCUGAUCUGCAUGUGUUGUUGUAUCUCUUCUCACUGUAUUGAUGAUAACUCAAGGCACGUGAUGAUGUUGUGUAUUUAUAAGUUGCAGGUGAUAAGUCAUCGCAAUAAAGGUUUGUUUCUUAUUUUUAUGUGCAAUAGUCUUUCUUUUACUGAUUUUGCUUUGCAAUUGUUGGUGAUAUAAUCAUGGCAGUGAAGGAUGAAACAAAGAAAUAGAAUCACUUUUAGGGUCUUUUUACUUUUUUGUGUGUAGUGAUCUUUGCAACUCUGUUUCUUAUUUUUUUCCCUGUGGUUCCUAUGAUUUUAACCCAGCUAUACGUUUUUUGUUGUUUUGUUGUUAAAGUGUGAUCUAUCAGAUCAUAUAAACUCUAUUAGCUAGGAAAGCAUAUUUUUUUUCUUUUACAGAAGUUUUAUUUAUUUGAUUCUUUCGUUGAUUUUAUAUUUUCGUCGUACCUCGCACCGAGGAAUUACUUUAUUCUAUGAUGAAACAAGAAUAACAAUGGAAGUCAUGAGAAACCAAUUCCCAUAGGAGACCGAUUAAAAAAAAAACUCUCAUCGGAGCCAGAGAAACAAGAUAUUGUAAGGAGAAAGGUGUUUUUCUCACCACAUGCAUAUUUUUCUUCUUAAAAGCUUUUGUAGAUUUAAUCUUACUAUUUUUUUUCUCCAUCUCACUUCUUUCUUGAAUAUCCUACUUCAAAUUGUGAAUACAUAAGAGCAAAUGUGUCGAAAAAGAUUUAUGCAGAAAAAAUCAGGUAACUUGGUGUAAUUUUGUUCAUGGGCGAAAUUGAGAGGCAGAGACGCGGGUUAUAUGCACAAGAGAAGGAACUUAUUGUGGGGGUCGAGAAAUGUCCUAAGCAAGGGCAGAUUGUAUGUUUUUCUUCAGUUUGAAGUUUGAAUUACUUAUUGGAUCGUUUUCUUUACAGAAAUUUGAGUUUUCACAUGAUCUGGUUUGCAUGAAGUAACCGUCGAAUCUUAAAGAGUUCCUAGCAUGUUGGAUUUUGUAAUUUUUUGGUUUCUUAUAUGAUGGGACAUCUUAUACCAUUGCUAUGAUUCAGUUUAAUGAGAAGUGUAAUUGACUGGCAAA
This is a long non-coding RNA of Papaver somniferum (opium poppy), 1150 nucleotides long. RefSeq lists it as uncharacterized. Lineage: Eukaryota; Viridiplantae; Streptophyta; Magnoliopsida; Ranunculales; Papaveraceae. The transcript has 2 exons. The record is from RefSeq and is a predicted model, not a curated record.